AAAUUGAAGAGUUUGAUCAUGGCUCAGAUUGAACGCUGGCGGCAGGCCUAACACAUGCAAGUCGAACGGUAACAGGAAACAGCUUGCUGUUUCGCUGACGAGUGGCGGACGGGUGAGUAAUGUCUGGGAAACUGCCUGAUGGAGGGGGAUAACUACUGGAAACGGUAGCUAAUACCGCAUAACGUCGCAAGACCAAAGAGGGGGACCUUCGGGCCUCUUGCCAUCGGAUGUGCCCAGAUGGGAUUAGCUUGUUGGUGGGGUAACGGCUCACCAAGGCGACGAUCCCUAGCUGGUCUGAGAGGAUGACCAGCCACACUGGAACUGAGACACGGUCCAGACUCCUACGGGAGGCAGCAGUGGGGAAUAUUGCACAAUGGGCGCAAGCCUGAUGCAGCCAUGCCGCGUGUAUGAAGAAGGCCUUCGGGUUGUAAAGUACUUUCAGCGGGGAGGAAGGGAGUAAAGUUAAUACCUUUGCUCAUUGACGUUACCCGCAGAAGAAGCACCGGCUAACUCCGUGCCAGCAGCCGCGGUAAUACGGAGGGUGCAAGCGUUAAUCGGAAUUACUGGGCGUAAAGCGCACGCAGGCGGUUUGUUAAGUCAGAUGUGAAAUCCCCGGGCUCAACCUGGGAACUGCAUCUGAUACUGGCAAGCUUGAGUCUCGUAGAGGGGGKUAGAAUUCCAGGUGUAGCGGUGAAAUGCGUAGAGAUCUGGAGGAAUACCGGUGGCGAAGGCGGCCCCCUGGACGAAGACUGACGCUCAGGUGCGAAAGCGUGGGGAGCAAACAGGAUUAGAUACCCUGGUAGUCCACGCCGUAAACGAUGUCGACUUGGAGGUUGUGCCCUUGAGGCGUGGCUUCCGGAGCUAACGCGUUAAGUCGACCGCCUGGGGAGUACGGCCGCAAGGUUAAAACUCAAAUGAAUUGACGGGGGCCCGCACAAGCGGUGGAGCAUGUGGUUUAAUUCGAUGCAACGCGAAGAACCUUACCUGGUCUUGACAUCCACGGAAGUUUUCAGAGAUGAGAAUGUGCCUUCGGGAACCGUGAGACAGGUGCUGCAUGGCUGUCGUCAGCUCGUGUUGUGAAAUGUUGGGUUAAGUCCCGCAACGAGCGCAACCCUUAUCCUUUGUUGCCAGCGGUCCGGCCGGGAACUCAAAGGAGACUGCCAGUGAUAAACUGGAGGAAGGUGGGGAUGACGUCAAGUCAUCAUGGCCCUUACGACCAGGGCUACACACGUGCUACAAUGGCGCAUACAAAGAGAAGCGACCUCGCGAGAGCAAGCGGACCUCAUAAAGUGCGUCGUAGUCCGGAUUGGAGUCUGCAACUCGACUCCAUGAAGUCGGAAUCGCUAGUAAUCGUGGAUCAGAAUGCCACGGUGAAUACGUUCCCGGGCCUUGUACACACCGCCCGUCACACCAUGGGAGUGGGUUGCAAAAGAAGUAGGUAGCUUAACCUUCGGGAGGGCGCUUACCACUUUGUGAUUCAUGACUGGGGUGAAGUCGUAACAAGGUAACCGUAGGGGAACCUGCGGUUGGAUCACCUCCUUACCUUAAAGAAGC
RNAcentral lists this ribosomal RNA (1554 nucleotides) under Escherichia coli O104:H4 str. 01-09591. RNAcentral describes it as "bacterial SSU rRNA". It matches the Rfam family "Bacterial small subunit ribosomal RNA". The record is from RNAcentral. Lineage: Bacteria; Pseudomonadati; Pseudomonadota; Gammaproteobacteria; Enterobacterales; Enterobacteriaceae.